AACUUCCCUGGCUCUCUGGAUAAAGUCUGCUCUCCAGUCGGUGAGGACCUUGGACAGGCAGCCCUGUUGGCCUCUGCGGACCCCUGUCUCAUGCCUCCAUCACACCAGCCAUGUCAACUUGCUACCGAGAACCCUGCAGCCCUCCUGGGCCUUCUAAGGAGGCUGAAACAAGGCUAAGCCCUUCCUGGUGGUUCUUUGCUUGGUCUCCCUACUGACCGUAUCUGUACUCCAGCUCAGUCGCGGACAGCUCAUUUUUACCCGGAGUGACAGCUUCUCGUCCUUGGGUCCCAGGUCAAGCCUUCACACUCUGCCCUGGCAACGUACUGGAUUACUCACUGGCCUGCUGACCGCAAGAGUUCGAAACCCCCAGAUGCACCGAGGAAGUAAGACGAGGAGUGCUACUCCCGCAAGAGCCACAGUCUUGGAGACCCACAGGGGCAACUCUACCCUGUCCUCCGGGGUCACGACGACUCAGAAUCGACUUGAAGGCAGUGAGUUUGGCUUUUUGGAUGUCUGCUUCCAUCCUAGA
Long non-coding RNA from Echinops telfairi (small Madagascar hedgehog), 529 nucleotides. RefSeq lists it as uncharacterized. The record is from RefSeq and is a predicted model, not a curated record. The transcript is spliced from 3 exons. Lineage: Eukaryota; Metazoa; Chordata; Mammalia; Afrosoricida; Tenrecidae.